This is a transfer RNA of Lodderomyces elongisporus NRRL YB-4239, 107 nucleotides long. It matches the Rfam family "tRNA". Rfam says of the family: Transfer RNA (tRNA) molecules are approximately 80 nucleotides in length. Their secondary structure includes four short double-helical elements and three loops (D, anti-codon, and T loops). Further hydrogen bonds mediate the characteristic L-shaped molecular structure. tRNAs have two regions of fundamental functional importance: the anti-codon, which is responsible for specific mRNA codon recognition, and the 3' end, to which the tRNAs corresponding amino acid is attached (by aminoacyl-tRNA synthetases). tRNAs cope with the degeneracy of the genetic code in two manners: having more than one tRNA (with a specific anti-codon) for a particular amino acid; and 'wobble' base-pairing, i.e. permitting non-standard base-pairing at the 3rd anti-codon position. NCBI's taxonomy places the organism in Eukaryota, Fungi, Ascomycota, Pichiomycetes, Serinales, Debaryomycetaceae. The record is from Rfam.
GAUGAUGUGGCUGAGUGGUUUAAAGCGUCGGGUGCAGGUUAACAAUCAAAAUUUGAAGCUUUUCCCGAUGGGCAUUGCCCGCGCAGGUUCGAACCCUGUCAUCAUCG